Molecule: long non-coding RNA, 2814 nt
Organism: Acipenser ruthenus (sterlet)
Lineage: Eukaryota; Metazoa; Chordata; Actinopteri; Acipenseriformes; Acipenseridae
Exons: 2
Source: RefSeq, a predicted model, not a curated record
AAUGUGCGGGAAGCAGGGGGAGUGUAAUUCCUGUGACUCACACAGGAAAAUCAUGCUGUUUACCCAAAUUUGCAGAAUCUGAGAGAGAGAGAUUGCAGCUACAUUUUAUUUACUAGAUAAUAACGUACAGGGCUGCUGAAAACCAACUAGCUUACCUUGGUUUAAACCCAGCAGUAAAGAUGCAGGCUGUCAACAUAAAACAGGAAGUUUUAGAACCUGUCCACAUUAAGGAGGAGCCUGCUGACCUAGAACCUGUGCAGUUUGCAAAGGAUAUCAGUGAACUGGGAUUAAUCCAUUUUAAAGAGGAGACCCCAGAAGCUGUAUUAAGUAACAGCAUGGGUCCCAAUACUGAAGAGGAGACUGAGAUGGGUCCCACUCCAUUUAAACACCCCAUCCAAAUACAUCCCUCCUUACAAUCAAGAAAUGGUUCGACAGUGAAUCCAGUAUCUGAUAACCAUUCACAAACUGCUGGCAACUUCCAUCAGUGUGCUGAAUGUGGAAAGUGUUUCAGUCUCUUAAAAUCGCUCAAACGGCACUUACGAACUCACACGGACGGGAAGCCGUAUCGCUGUAUAGAAUGUGGGAAGAAUUUCAAGAAGAUAAACGACCUUAAAAAGCAUCUGGGAAGUCACACUGGAGCGAAACCGCAUUCCUGUACGGAGUGUGGGAAGAGCUUUAGGGAUUUCUACAAUCUUAAAAUCCACCAGAGAAUUCACACGGGAGAGAAACCGCUACGCUGUCCAGAUUGUGGGAAGAGUUUCCGACAUUUAAAUAGCUUUAAAAUUCACCAGCAAGUUCAUACGGGAGAGAAACCGUUUCACUGUACGGAAUGUGGGAAGAAUUUUAAUCUGUUAGGAAACCUUAACGAGUUCAUAAAUAAAACUGGAAUGUAAAUAAUAAUAAUAAUAAUAAUAAUUUGUCCCUUGACUUUUUGUGGUGGAUUUGUUGUCUGUGUUACCCCACCCUCUGCUUAACCCUGUAAUGCUUAGCCACUCUGCUGUAGUAUUAUCUUUGAAAUCCAGCCUCACAGUCCAGUAUUUUUCAUAUGCAGUACAUUGUGUUGCCAGACAUGAACAAAAAAAGUAGCUUUUCUCAUUGGGCAUUGGCCAUUAAAAAAUACAUAUCUGAAAGGACUGUUUUAAAAUAAGUAGGCUUCCAUUUAGAUGUAUUGGCUUUGUUGGUACAGUACUAUAAUUUCAACAUUAGUAUUUUAAUUCAGGACGAUAGGAUUCUGAAAAUAUCACUUGCCAAAAUUAAAGAGACGACAUGUUAACUGUAAUACAGGACAUACUUUGAAAUCCGGUACAUACUGUAGCAGUGUGUAAAAUUCCUCGUUAAGGACCCAACAGCAAAAUAAAUUCAAAAUGUUAUCCAGAAUUUAAAACAGUAUCCCAAGUCAGUAUUCGAAAUUGCAGAAUAUAUUGCUCGAUAAGGCCCUGAGGAGUUUGAAUACAUUUGCACCCGACUCUAAGUGCUGCAGGUAAUACUGUUGGAACAGAAGAGACUCAUUGGAUCCAGUGUCCUUCUGAAAGUCAGCUGGCCUGGUCUCUAUGACAACCAGGGCCCCUUUCUUGAGUUAAUGAUAACUGUGCUGCGCCUUCAAAAAUAUAUAUACCCAGAAUGAGAAAGGGAGACUAGUUUGGUAACCAUAACAACACGGAUAAAUUUGAGGCCCACUAAAGAGCUGCUAAUUCAAGAAUAAUAAGAAGAACAUAAGAAAGUUUACAAACGAGAGGAGGCCAUUCAGCCCAUCUUGCUCGUUUGGUAGCUUAUUGAUCCCAGAAUCCCAUCAAGCAGCUUCUUGAAGGAUCCAGGGUGUCAGCUUCAACAACAUUACCAGAGAGUUGGUUCCAGACCCUCACAAUUCUCUGUGUAAAAACGUGCCUCCUAUUUUCUGUUCUGAAUGCCCCUUUAUCUAAUCUCCAUUUGUGACCCCUGGUCCUUGUUUCUUUUUUCAGGUCGAAAAAGUCCCCUUUUAAACCCAGGAUAAUUCUGGUUGCUGUUAGAAAUAUAAUUUAAUUAACAGAGAAGAGAAACAAACCAAGCUAACAACUAUGUAGCCUAAAUAGAAUUUUUCUAUUUUUUGCAAUCAACUGCGGGUUCUGUUGGAUUCACGGCACUGAUAGCGUUUUAAAACGCGCUCUAAAUUAUCACAACAGCGCGGACCAUGGGUCAAACCAAUGUUUGUGUAGGGUGCGGUGUAUCUUUUUUUAUUAUCAAUGUCGGCCUUCUGGAGUCGUCUGAAUGCCUUUCCACUUUUUAUUUAAUUUUAAACAGUAACCGUAACAAAACAUUGAAUCAUAUUGCAAAUACAAAGAAAAAUGGAUGGACCAAACACACAUCGUCCCGUCUCACCCCCCACCAAAGAGCGGGUGGCACUGUCCUCUCUGCCCUACGGGUUACGUGGAUAUGCAUACAGGCGUAUUUGUGGUUUUUUUUGCACUGCGGUUGCCUUUAAUGUAUUUUUCUGCACAUAUUACUCGUUUGUAUAUGAUGUAGAAUAUGUGUUUAUAAAAUCUAGCACCAUUACGUACAAUACUCUUUCAAAUAAACGUGUUAUGAUUUUGAAUGCGCGCUUCUUAAGAACGCUAUUAUUGUCAUUGCUCGCGACCCGGCACCUCUUUCUUUACACAUUAAGCUCUGCGAACCAGGACAGUCUAGUGAUAAGACAAAUUAGUGAAACGUCUGAUCACAGUGCCCCAUAACUAAUAUAAUCAACCUUAUUUCUCAAUUUUAAAAAAUAAUUACGUGUGUCCAGUGCACGAGAAUACGAAAGAAUGCAGAAACGCAAUUGGCUAGGGACUUUCCAGCUCG